Sorex araneus (European shrew) is the source of this 1129-nucleotide long non-coding RNA. RefSeq lists it as uncharacterized. Lineage: Eukaryota; Metazoa; Chordata; Mammalia; Eulipotyphla; Soricidae. The transcript has 7 exons. The record is from RefSeq and is a predicted model, not a curated record.
CCCCUCGGCCUCGGGGCGGGGCUCCCUCCGGCGCCCGGCUGCCCUUUCCCCUGCAGCCUCUGAGCCGGCUGGAGUUCCCGGGCCGAGCUCCGGACACGUGCGGUGAGUGCGGACCAGGUCCGGGAGGUCCUAGACGUCUACCAAUUCCCCCGGUAAGAGGCCUCGGUGUGGAAGGCUUCUGCUGAGUCACGGGACGAAGUUAGGUGCGUUGCGUCGUGACCCCGGGUUUCGAGCGCAUCUGGGAGAGACUGAGAAAUGGGCCUCCCCGCCGUUUGCUGCCGUCUGUCUCGUUUGUCCCCGCCGCGACACCUUGCACCGGUCCCCGGAAGACUCGGAACCCAGGCACCGGCGCCGGGGGGAAGGUCUGUGAGGAGCACGUGUCCGGAUGGCGCUCGGUCAGCACCUUGAAUCCCAGCCUCAGAAAGGAGCAAGCUGCUCUUUUAUUUUAUUUUUAAACUUGGAGGGGCCAACUGUGGACUUCAGCCAGAUGUAGUCCCAGGAUGACUUGAAAGAAGGGCAUCCUUGACCCUCCUGAAGCAGUAAUUAGUGAUGGCCUUCAUCUGAGAGAACCGCACCUACACUGGGGCUUCAGUCACCUGACAGCUGUGUGAUUGGCUAAUAUAUGUCGUCAUUUUGUCGUGUUCCAGUCCUGUAACCUACUAAGAGGAAAAUUAAAGGAGCAACAGUACAGUGGACAGGGUUCAAAGAAAGUGACAGUGAACUUUUGCUAUGAAAACUUGGCUCAUCUCAAAAUUCAAUCAGGAAAAAGAAACCCAGAGGAAUAAGUUCUUCUGGCCCCAAAGGGAUGCAAAAAGGUGGCUCUGUGCCUAAGAUUUCACACAAAGGAAAACAAGCUGAUGCUGCAGUCCUCAGAUGACUGGUUAUUUUUACCCUGUGAGCUCAGAGAAGAGGUGAAUUCUUGACCAGCUGCUGACUGAAAGGAAGAGCCAGGCCCCAGUACUAGUGUCCUACAAGCUGAAGGAGUGGAGUUCUCCAACAGUGGCUUCCAAAUGCUGCUCCAUCAAACUUUCUUACAGGUCCUAGAAAAAGUUACUGUACAUAGUACACCUCAAUCAUGUGUGGAACUGUUACAGUAUUCUUAGAAUAAAUGUUUCUUAUUUCUGCCUUA